This 520-nucleotide long non-coding RNA is filed under the name Oryza sativa Indica Group (long-grained rice). RNAcentral describes it as "lncRNA OsZS97_06G015330". Lineage: Eukaryota; Viridiplantae; Streptophyta; Magnoliopsida; Poales; Poaceae. The record is from RNAcentral.
AAAAUAGUGAUCAUAACAAGAGACGAUGAGAAGCAGGUGGCGACGGGUGGCGAUAGCGUGGAGGCGGAGCUCCAAGUGGUGGCGAGGAGAUCCAUCGCCACGGCGAUGGGUAAUUGGCGUCAGCGAGAUGAGUUGCCGACAAUGGUGCCUGCAUCCAGCGGCAACCUCGACGACGGCGUGCACGGCCAAGCAGCGGAAGCAGCAUCCACGAGGAGGCCGAUUCACAGCUGCGCGAGAAAAUCGUCAUCCAUGUCGAUGCUGACAACGAGAUGGUCAGCGAUGAGGCUCCACCAUACAAGGAGGUCAGGCGUGAGGGAGGACGGCAUCCACUGGGAUCUACACUGUGACUGACGGCCUGCGGGCUCGAUACGGCGGCAUGGUGGCUACCUUGAUCCUGGACAGCUUGGGGACGAACAGGUGCUGGCCCAGACGCAUGCGGCACCCACAGCCACGACGGGGGAGGCGGCACUUGAACUGGUAGCUUAUUGUUUUCUUGUUGCUAUUCUAAUUCCUGUUCUCU